GAGGACAAAGUAAAACAGCAAAAGUUUCGAGCAGCAGCCCUUUCUCAAUGCUAAUUAGCAUUGAGAAAGGGCUGCUGCUCGAAACUUUUGCUGUUUUACUUUGUCCUC
Pelobates cultripes (western spadefoot toad) is the source of this 108-nucleotide non-coding RNA. The record is from the annotation of a GenBank genome assembly. NCBI's taxonomy places the organism in Eukaryota, Metazoa, Chordata, Amphibia, Anura, Pelobatidae.